GCUGCCGCUGCUGCCGCCGCCGGAGCUGCUGCUGCUGCUGCUGCUGCUGCUGCUGCUGCUGUUGCUGCUGCCGCCGCCGCCUCACACACAUAGGGAAAGAGUCAACUCGCCGGCGGCGGGGGAGAGAUGAUAAGAGAGAAAGGAGGGCAGAUCAGCACCUAGAAGCGCAUCCUUCGUGCGCAGAGGGGGGAGAAACGGAGAGAAAGAAUGAAAGAGGGAAGAGCAGCGCGGCAGCCGGAGAAAGGAGGCAACUCCGGCAGAGGAGGAGGAGAAGAAAACACACACGCGCGCACGCACGCACACACCGCGGAGAGAAAAGAGCAGAAUCAAAGUGAUCAAAUAUGCUAAAAAGGGGGGCGCGGGAGGGAAUGCGAUUUAUAGGCGCCGGGGCUGGCAGAAGUGGCUUCUCCGCGAUCAGCUCACUGAGCUCUCUAUAUAGUGAACUUUGACACGACUGCUGCAACUUAGCGCACGUUACCAUGGCGACGGCGCGCCUUAUAAGGCAGCCGCCGGGGUUGGCCUGGCCCGGCGCGCGCGCGCCGCCCCCUCGCCGUCAUUGGCCGGAGCGCGGCGGCCCCGCCAUGGCGGCAGCGGGAGCAGCUCGGUCCUAGUGCGAGCAUCGUCGCGACUGCCGUGCGGGCCGCUCGGGGACUGAGGGGGGCGGGGACGGGUGGCCGCGCCGCCCGGGCCACCGAGCGGGGGAUGGGCCCGGGCGGACCCGGGAGCGCGGAUCCCGCUCGCCCCGCACCCGGCACCCGAGGUGACCGCCCCAGUGGCGAGGCGAGAGCGCUGUGCACACACUACGCCUCUUAAAGGCUCCGCGAGAGGUAGAGGAUGGAGCCUAAGACUUAGUCCCUUGCAACUUGGCGUUGCCACUAAAUAGGCGGCUAGCGCUCCACCCGGGACUCCCGACGGCGCAUUAUGUAGAGCCCACGAUGCCAAAGACGGAUAGUGCUUCCCUCUUCUUUGUAGAGGGGUACGCCGCGGAGGUGGCAAGGUACCGGGAUCUGAGCUUGCAAAAGGAAGAUUUGGGCUAGAUCCGUGAGGUGGCAAAUCCUUUGCUUAAUGAACUCUCAUCAUUUGCUCUAUUUGGUGGCUCCUUUUUUUUGUUUGUUUUAUAGGAAAAGAAGCCGUUCAAUAUCUGCCUUUUUCUUUGGAGGGUUAAUAUUUUAUAGAUUUGCGGCCUGACAUUUUAAUUGCUCAAAUGAAGCAUCUCGGAUGCUGAGAAGCACAAGUAGACUUCUCAUGGUCAUGACGCAAUUAAAAUAAAUUCCCCUCAACUUUAUCCUCUCUCAUUGGUUUUAGCUAACCAGCCAGCCAGUGACCUGUCACACACCCGGUCAUGAAAAGAGGGAGAAAGACCUUUCUGUCCUCUGAUGGACAGGCGGAGGCAGCCGCUUAGCCUCGCCUGUGCACAGUUUCUGUACACACAUGUAAACGCACAUGUAUCAGAUGCACAUUUGUCAAUGUAUACAGACAAAGACAUCCAAGAUGAUGCUUCGAGGUCAUAGAACAGUUGAAUACGUACUUCAUUGUUCAAAUUCUCUUUAAACACCCAUAUAGUCAUUAAAACACAUCCAGAGAGCCUGCUCCAAUUUGGAAAUAACACCAGCAUAACUCACAAGAACUACAGACAAGCCAUAGUCUUCAUCCCACAGUCUAUGUCAUUCUGCCCAGGAUGCUCAUUCGUGUGUCUUUGAAUGUGUGCCUGAGUUUUAAACAUCAAAUAUAUAGAACCACCCCCAGGACAAAUUAUAUUCCACCGACUAAACUUGCUGUUUGAUUAGGACCAGUUAGUUGAUUGUGAGGACUCCACACUUGUAUGGGAAAUUUGUGUUUAAAAGGGAAUACUUUGCACCAAGCCAAAACUAAAACCAUAAGUCGAACAAUUUUACCAACAAUGAAAUUGUUUUUACACAAAAGAUGCUGAGCUACUGGGGGUGGGGGGUGAGGAGGACCCUACAAAGAGCAAAUUGACAACUUCUGAAAAGCAUCUUUGACAGCAUAAAAAUUUGGCAAUAUAAAGUUGCUUUAACAAAAUAACCCAGACGUGUAAUUGACGUGGGUAGACUGCACUUUAGGGCAGUUUCUUUCACACAUACAGGCGGAGUAUGAGGUGAGGAGCCCAUGAAGAUGCGGGCAGACAGAAGCUGGGUUUUCCCCGCAAGGAAAAAUGAAUCCUGUUCUUCUUCAAAGUUCUCCUUAACCUUCUCUUUCUCUACUGAAACCAUACAUUGCACUGACAUGUCAGGUGCUGUGGUUAUUUGAAUGUUUUAAGAAACAACAAGCUAUAGCAGGUACCAGACUAUCAUAAACCUGGUGUGUUAAAUAAGGUGGCUACAGAGUACAGCUAGGCGAAGCAUUGCUGGCUGAUUAGAGAUACCACAUAACUUUCUCCUACAGAGAACAACAAAGGAAGAUGGAAAAGAAAUAAUUUCAGAGAAAUAUGGGUUUUUUUCUUCUUUUAAUUUCUCUGACUUGAGGAAUUAUUUGAUACUGCAAUUGUCAGAUUAUAGAGGGAAGCUCAGCAUAUAGUGAGACUGAGGUUGACACAGGAAAUCUAAUAGGUAUUCCCAUGACUUUAUAGAUGAGCAUAAUUGAUUAUAGAGAAAUGUUAAUUUUGCCUCUCCAAGUGCAGCCAUUUUCAUGGCAAGAUUACUUUUUGCUCACACACCGAGAUGGUUUUUGAGGAGGAGAGGCCACACACACACACACACACACACACACACACACACACACACACACACACACGGAAUUUGAAGGCUGUAAUUUCUUUAGGUAGAAAAAUGAAGAAUUUCCCACUUACAGAACUGCAGCCAGCUAGACACAUGGCCAUACAACUACCACCAAGUCAGGGCUGCUUCACUUUGAAUUUGAGGGCUCAUUUAGCUAUAGAAAUGCUGUUUAGAAGGGGAUAAAAAUCGCUAUAUGAAUUGUAGUUAAUUUUACUGAGUGGAUGGAGAGACAGUACAGCCAGACAGAGGGGUUAAAAAAAAGCAAAAAUAUUUUUAAAUGUCCGUCUCAAAGAUGCUCAGUAAGAUUUAAAAGUCCUGAUUAAAACAUACAUAUCUAUAUGCUAUUUCAAAAAACUCAACCAAGCCUUUUACUACAAAUGUAAAUUUAUUUUAAUGAGAAUUGUGGCAAGCUUUAUUUGACUGCUCAAAGUUAGGGAAAAACAUUUGUCUUAAUCUAGAAAAAAAAAAAACUCCCAGGAAUAUGGUUCCUUGCAGAAAGUGGUUGGCUGGUCUGUAAUUCUUUACAGAUUAAAUCACAAUAUGAAUACAGACCCCAGCAAUGCCGAGUUUAACUCUGAGCUCAGUAGAAUCCAGGAUCCAUUGAAUUUCUCCUUUCCCUCAAUCUAGUCGUGUGUGUUUUUCUCUUCCACCACACUGGAGCUCCGUGAAUAGGGAAGGGGCUUCCAUUGUGUCCCUCUGAACUUCCAAGUCAAUGCAAUUUUUAACCACUGGCUUGUGGUACUUUGAAAAUCACCAGGGGCUGUCAGAGUUGGGUCCUCUGAAAAAUUUACAGUGCUAAAUCAGAGCAUAUGCUGGGAGGGAAAAAAAUUGCUUAAGAUUGGAGCAAGUACAGUAUCUGUCUGCCCCCUAGUGUAAGAGUCCUCGCUGCCUAAAAUCCAACUUUAAAAGAAAAGGAGCCCUUAAAGGGAAACGACUUGGGGCUCACGUAGGCAUAGGCAUAGGAGAAUGAAACUUCUGUAUAUUUUAAUCUGACUAAUUCUUAUGGAUUUAAAAUUAUUUGGCUGUGACUUGGUUGGACUGCACUGGGAUCUCGCUGCCUCUACGUUUCUCGAGUCACUGGUGAAGAGCACAGAAUUGCUUCAAAAGUCAGCCCUGCGCGGUUGCAAUAGACAGCAAAAAGGUAAACCGUUUGCCUGAAAUCCGCACGCCAGCUCCACCACCCCGCCCGAUGCAAAACUUGGAAGUAUGCUUCUCCUCCAUCUAUAGAUAGAAGAGGCGGAUUUUCCUCCAAGCUCACUCCUGCUCACCGUUUCAUGGCACAAGUCCUUUUUGUCGAAUGGUAGGGGAGUCUACAUGGAGUUCCCCUGCGGUGAAGACAUGAGUUUUCAUCACUCAAGCAGAGUCUGACUGCCUUGUGGCACACACCGUCAAUCCCAGCAUUCAGGAGGCAGAAGCAGGCUGAUCUGUCACUUCACAGCUUGUCUCAGCUACCGAGCAAGUUCCAGGCUAACCGUUACUACACAGUGUGACUGUCUCAAAUAAUGUGGUUCUAUAACGGAAUCAAGAAAGUGUGGACACCUACCUGUGGGUCGAGGCUUGGGGGAAUGUUGCUUCAGGUUCCUGCCAAAGCCAGACUUCUGGAGAUAGACAGCUGCUCAAGGAAAUGAAGGGAGAGUUUGUGAAUUGCAACUUCUAAGCAGGUCCUGGAGAAGAUUUGCCUAAGAAACUUACUUCUAAAGAAGCCAGCGAUCACAUAAGAAUGAUCUGCAGGAUGAAUCAAGUCUAAAGACUUCAAUGCUCUACAAUGUCCAGCACCCAGAGCAGGUGCCAUACACGUUGGUCCUCUGCCACAUCUCCUCACCAUGAUGCUCUCUGUCACUGAAAGACCAAAGCCACAAGAUCACAUCCCGAUGGAUAGAUGCCACUGACGCUGACUGGUCCUGCUUGCUCCGUCUUCACACUGAUGGUCAACAGUAGACUCAACUGACUUUCCAUGGGGACGAUUGAACAUCUCUCAGGAAGCCAGCAGGCUGCCCUUCCCUGCUCUGACUUCAUUCUGCCAGAAUUGAUAAGGGGCUGUCGGCAGGUGCCGCACAGGCUUGUGGGAGUUAGCACGCCAGAACACGCUUUGGAGGCAGUACAGAUGGAACAGACUCCCCUCCCCAUGGAAGAUGGAGGAAAAUUGAUGGUCCAGCUUCUGCUUCUGAUGCAGCUGCUAUCUACAGACCUCCUGGACUGCCCAAGGAAGGGAGUGGGAGCUCGCGCUCCAGAUGGGUGGAACAGCAACAAGAUGGACUGAAAGAGGCCAAAAAUAACAGUGCCUUCCAGAUGAGGUGACCUCAGAGCCAAGAGCAUCAUGGGGUAGAGUAUCUUGUUCCUAGUUUUAUGACCUAAAAAGUACACAGAAGAUUCAAAGACACUACAGAGAGAAGGAAUAAAGUCUGCAGAGAACAAGGAAAUGUGAUCAGCUACAAUUUUUUCAGUUGAAUUUCACUGUGCACACACUUACACAAGAAAACACAAGUCUUUUAUAUAUGUAUGAAGAGAGACCUAGAUCUCUAGUUGGAUAGAUAGACAGACAGAUAGAUAUAACGAAAUACAGUAGGAGACCAAAAUGAAGAAAAAGUUAAAGACAACAUUGCCUUCCUUUGCUUGCUAUUGAAAUAAGUUUAAUAAAUCUUCACUGAGAACCAA
Long non-coding RNA from Mesocricetus auratus (golden hamster), 5390 nucleotides. RefSeq lists it as uncharacterized. The record is from RefSeq and is a predicted model, not a curated record. Lineage: Eukaryota; Metazoa; Chordata; Mammalia; Rodentia; Cricetidae. The transcript has 11 exons.